GCCCGCGUGGUGCAGUUGGUAAGACUGUUACCCAAGGUAGCACUGUUAGAUGUGCUGUAGGUUCGAAUCCUGCCGCUGGCAAGGUCCCUUGCGGCCACUUCUUACCCAUGAAGGCCCCCAUGACCAGGGGCUAAGCCUAGUGAGGCAGUGCUGACAGGGGUGCUGCUUGGCAGUGAUGGGGGUGGUGGCCGCUGGAAGCCGCCCUCAUUAGUGCCAAGCAGCUCCCCUGUCACUAGUGCUGAGCUAAGCAAGAUCCGAUGAUUACAGAGGGUCGAGUAUAAGGUGCUUAUACACACUAGCACCUGCCAAGGCCCCCGGCAACUAGGGGGCCACCUCAACAACAGGGAAUGAUUUUAAAAACCAUCCGAUUGGUUGCCUCAUCAGAGACAAGCCAAGCAGGACACCCUGGUAGGCGCCCUAUCCCUGGGGCCCACUGGUGGUCAUCUAACACUAUUAGUGGGUAAAACAUCGGUGGUGGGGUAAGCCUAUGGUUAGUCCCUUACACGGGGCAAGGCCACGACGGCUGGUUGGUAGGCCAAGGGGGCAAUGGGCCG
RNAcentral lists this small RNA (554 nucleotides) under Histoplasma capsulatum var. duboisii H88. Its description in RNAcentral is "Histoplasma capsulatum H88 hypothetical RNA". The stretch from base 1 to 81 matches the Rfam family "tRNA". The record is from RNAcentral. Lineage: Eukaryota; Fungi; Ascomycota; Eurotiomycetes; Onygenales; Ajellomycetaceae.